This 253-nucleotide ribosomal RNA is filed under the name uncultured bacterium. RNAcentral describes it as "partial 16S ribosomal RNA". It matches the Rfam family "Bacterial small subunit ribosomal RNA", at positions 524 to 776 of the family's 1533-position model. The record is from RNAcentral.
UACGUAGGUGGCAAGCGUUGUCCGGAUUCAUUGGGCGUAAAGAGCGUGUAGGCGGCCAGGUAGGUCCGUUGUGAAAACUCGAGGCUCAACCUCGAGACGCCGAUGGAAACCAUCUGGCUAGAGUCCGGAAGAGGAGAGUGGAAUUCCCGGUGUAGCGGUGAAAUGCGCAGAUAUCGGGAAGAACACCCGUGGCUAAGGCGGCUCUCUAGUACGGUACUGACGCUGAGACGCGAAAGCGUGGGGAGCGAACAGG